GAUCCUGGCUCAGGAUGAACGCUGGCGGCGUGCUUAACACAUGCAAGUCGAACGAAGAUGCCGGAGUGCUUGCACUUUGGCAGACUGAGUGGCGGACGGGUGAGUAACGCGUGGGUAACCUGCCUUGUACUGGGGGACAACAGUUGGAAACGACUGCUAAUACCGCAUAAGCGCACAGCUUCGCAUGAAGCAGUGUGAAAAACUCCGGUGGUACAAGAUGGACCCGCGUCUGAUUAGCUGGUUGGUGAGGGCAACGGGCCCACCAAGGCGACGAUCAGUAGCCGGCCUGAGAGGGUGAACGGCCACAUUGGGACUGAGACACGGCCCAAACUCCUACGGGAGGCAGCAGUGGGGAAUAUUGCACAAUGGGGGAAACCCUGAUGCAGCAACGCCGCGUGAGUGAAGAAGUAUUUCGGUAUGUAAAGCUCUAUCAGCAGGAAAGAAAAUGACGGUACCUGACUAAGAAGCCCCGGCUAACUACGUG
RNAcentral lists this ribosomal RNA (484 nucleotides) under uncultured bacterium. RNAcentral describes it as "bacterial SSU rRNA". It matches the Rfam family "Bacterial small subunit ribosomal RNA", at positions 15 to 507 of the family's 1533-position model. The record is from RNAcentral.